GGGAGCAGCCCAAGAAAUGGCAAAAAAAAAAAAAGACAAAAAUAAAUAAAUAAAUAAAUAAUCGUCAACUUAUAGUGAUCUACCUUCAAAUAAUAUCAUAGUACUAUAUAAAUAAUUUAGGAAUCAGACAACUAUAUUUUUCCACUACCUUUUCUGGGACACCAAUUAAAUACAUGCAAAAUCAUUUGAUACUGCCUGCAGAUCUGUAAUGCUCUGUUAUUUUUUUGUUUUGUUUUGUUUUGUUUAAAUUACUCAAAUGAAUUUAUCACAUCUGUAGUUGUAUAAUGAUAACAAUCUGAUUUCACAGGAUUCCCAUCCCACAGCCCAAGCACAUCCCCCCACCCGCCAAACUGUCUCCUCCAGAGACCAUAAGUUUUUCAAUGUCUGUGAGUCAGCAUCUGUUCUGCAAAGAAGUUCCGUCUGUCCUUUUUUUCAGAUUCCGCAUGGUAAUGAUGGUGUCUCAUUGUACGGCUGACUUUACUUAAUUGCUCUGUUAUUUUUUACCAGUCUUCAAAUUUGCGGAUUUUCUUUUCAAGUGACUAAUCUGCCUUAAAUCUAUUGAGUGAAUUUUCCAUUUCAGACACUGUAUUUUUAUCUCUAGAAGAUUUUUUAUAGUUUUUAUUUCUCUACUGCUUGUGUUCAUGUUCCGUUUAAAUUCUUAACAUAGUUACAAUAAGUAUUUUCAUUUUCUUAUCUGCCAAUGCCAUCAUUUCUCUCAUUUCUGGAUCUAUUUCUACUAGUGUGCUUCACAUUUUCCUACGUUUUCAUGUCAUAUAUUUUGGGUUGAAAGCUGAACAUCAUGAAUGUUAGGGUGCUGUGUCUGGGCUUUGUUUUCUCUGAAAGGUGUUAGGCUUUGCCCUGGCAGGCCGCUAAUUUACUUAUAGAUCAGCUUGAUUCUUUGGACACAUUGUUGCUGCUGUUAUUACUGUUACUAUUGUUAGGACAGGUCUAUGGCAGUCUUUUCUCAAGGCUUCAUUUGGUCUUACUCUUAAGGCUUGGGCUUUCUGGGAUCUCGAUCAAAUGCCCUGGGUGUCCCAUGAGGUCUCUUUAUACCCACCCGUUGGACAUCAAGUGCUCCCCACGCUGCUGAGCUGUGGUAGCUCUUCUUUCUCACUAAUUGCUCUUUGCUAAGCCUUGUGGAGUCUCACCUUAGAUGCACAGAUUUUUUUUAAAGCUUUUUUUCUAAAAAGUUCCCUAAACCUUAGUAUUCCAUCCUACAAAUUCUGGCAGCCUCAGCUUCCCCAAACUCUAAUCUCGAUUUCAGCUCAGCAAGACCAUUGCAUUUUGCUUGGUUUUCCCCUCUCUUUGCUGAGGCUUAGUAAAUAUUUCUAGGAAGACAGCAGAAUUAUUUAGAACUCGGCUUGCUUAUUUUCCACCUUUCGUGGCUCUCAUGUGCUGCUUGUUGUCUGACACCUAAAAUCAGCUGUUUCAUACAUGUGCCCAUUCAACGGGUUGUUUACUCAUGUUUGUGUCAGGAGGGCUGGUCCAUCAUGACCUGAAGCAGACGUUCAUCCACGUAGAAAGACAAAAAAAUGACCCAUCAUGACAUUAAGACAACUCAACCCUCACAACUAGUAACAAUCAAUUAAUAAGGGGGACCUGGGACUAAAUACACUGAGUGGUUAUGUUAUGAGUAAUUCCCAGUAUAUCUGCUGCAUCCCACCCUAUCCUCUCCCAUUCGAGGAGAGAGAUCAGAAUGCCAGUGAGAAGGGUGAUGUGACAGUAUGAAUAAACAGGACUUCAUUUUUUACUCUACUCCUAGCUCACAAAUAAGCACAAAACAUCAGCGUGUACAAAUAGAGCAUUAAGAAUGACCACCACGACACUUUGCUGCACAGCAGAAAAUGGCAAACCAUUGUAAAUCAACUACACAUUAAUUUAAAAAAAUUAAUUAAAAAAGAACAAACUCAAGGACUUGGAGAACAGACUUGCGGUUGCCAAGGGGCUGGGGGAGGGAGUGGGAUGGACUGGGGGUUUGGGAUUAUAGAUGCAAACUAUUGGAUGGAUGAGCAAUCAGAUCCUGCUGUAGAGCACAGGGAAUUCUAUCUAGUCAUUGCAAUGGAACAUGAUGGAGGAUAAUGUGAGAAAAAGAAUGUGUGUGUGUGCGCCUGUGUAUGAUGGGGCACUUUCCCACACAGCAGAAAAGAGAAUAUGACAGAAUAUUUUGCAUCAACUAUAAAAGAAAAAAUAAAAAUCUUCAAAUAAAAUGAUCACCAAGCCAUGAGAAUUGGACAGAGCCUCAUUUUACACAAAGGAAAACUGGGCUAAGGCAGGAAACACAAGACAAACAUGAUGCUCUCACUGAAUUUCGGAUCUUUACGUUUGGGUCUAAGAUUAAUUAAGCUCCUAGUCAUGGGCUUAUUGCCACCUUUAGAAAUGCUCAGUGUCGAUCGGAAAUGAAAUAAAAGAUGAAGUUUGACAGCUUUAAAAAAAAAUGAUGACCAUUCAUUUAAAGGUAAAAACUCAGUUCUAGAGCUUAGGAUACGUGACUCUCAGAAUACGGCUUCUGGCUUCUGGCAAGUCUUGAGCCGUAGCUCCCUCGGGUCUGUCUCCCCCGAGAGACCUUCCAGCCUCAGAGAACCUCACGUCAUUCCCAGAGGCAUCACAUCUUUGUUCAGCUCCGCACCUUCACUUCUGUGGCUUCCCUGCUCCUCCCUCUGGGGCGUCUAAUCCUUAUCCUGCUUUCAAGGCCCCCAACCUUGAUUUAAUAAUUAAGCUAAUGUUAAAAGAUUUACUGAGUGCUUUCUAUGUGUCAGGUACUCUUAAAACUCUUUACAUGUAUUAACCGAUUCAAAACGUAGAAUAACAUUUUACGCUAACUUUAAAGGUAAGGAAAUUAAAGCUUAGAGAAUCGAAUGCUUGCUUAAGGUCACACGGCUAGUAAGAAGGAAGCAGGGAUAGGAAUCCGGAUCUGUAUGAGUCCAGAGCUUGUGCUUUUAACCAGAACACCUGUCAUUCUUAAAUUUGACACAUUUUAGAAUUACCUGGGGAAUUUUCAAAAAUCUCCAUUCCCAUUAAAUAAGAAUUUCUGUGACUCAGACUUCAGCCUCUCUUAAAAGUAACACCAGUGUGAAGUAAUAUCCUGCAAGUGACACCAAGGUGAAGACAAAUUUGAGAAGCCAUGUCCCACCCCACAAUUUUUUAUCAAACGAAUCUGUACUGGUCAGCGAGGACUCAAGAACAUAGCCAAAAUCAAGGUCAGGAGACUGGAAUUUAGCAUUUACCAAAUGAGUACUGCCUGUACCACGUGGAAGGCUGUGGGGGAGGUAGAAAUCCAUUGCUCAGAGCAGUCACGAACCCAAGCACCAGGCCACUGUUGAGUAACUGAAUAUCAAAUCUCCACUAUUAAAGCGAUAAUAAAAUAUGCCUGGCUUGUUACUGUGGUUGGCUGAUUCUGCCUAAGUUACUGUUCCCUAGGCAUUGCAGGAUACCAUAAAGUAAAUAAGAAACAUUACAAAAUUGCUCUGUAAAUAUAAGUACAGAAUAGAAUACUGCUACAUUGUUAAGUACAUGCACUGCACACUAUUAAUAAUCUUUGAGGGGGAAAAAAGUGGAAUCUGGGCUCAUGUGUGUGUCAAAGAAAUUUAUAUUCACCUAUCCACAAUGACUGAGGAAUAUAGCAUUUAUGUAUCAGCUGAGAACAUGACUCUUUCAAAUCUGGUGUCCUGGCUGCCUCCCAGAACAGCCUGUGCCCGGUGAUUCCAUAGAACCCCAACACGCAACCACGUCCACCCACCUCCCUCACACACUCGUUGUGUUUCUAGUGAUUCUGCUUAGAUUAGAAUUCUUCCAGGUCCCAGUGGGAAAUCGGCUUCAGGAUUAGAAGCGAUGAAAUUUGAUUCACGCUCUAAAUGGGUUUGUACAUUUACAAAUACUCAUGUGUCUACACUGCCCAUGUUUAUCCCCUGAUCAAAUCCUGACAUGCACAGAUUUACUUAGUAUCACUAGGCUUCGACCAAGAUGACACUUUUAACAUCACAAGAAAUGAGACACUUUUCCUAGAGAGUAAAACUGCUUUUGCAGAACUUAAGUAUUCCUCAAUCCUUGUUUUGUUUUCUGAAAUAAAUUAAAUAUAUGUGUGUGUGUACACUUCAUUAAUAUUCAGUUUACAUCCUCAUCUUCCAGUUGGGAGAUGGAUCUGUCAGGAAAGAGUGGAACAUGAUGCGGUAACAAAGAAUCCCCCAAAUAACGGCGUGUUAAGACAAUGGUGGUUGACAUCUCAGAUAUGCCAUCACCCACUGCCAUCAGCCCUGCAGGCUGUAGGUCCGAGCUGAUGGAGGCAUACUUGGAAGGUUCUGGUAACCAUCGAAAGGAAAGAGAGAGCACAGUUAACCACUCCCUGCCUCUUUAAGCUGUUUUCACCCAGAAAUCAUUUCUGUUUACAUACCUUUGGACAAAGGGAGCAAGAAAAUACAACUUGCCGUGUGUCUAAAAAGAAAACCAGGAAACUCUGGUAAACAGAACUGAUGACCAGGACAUCUGUCCUUCUGGUUAUCAAACACUUGGCUCCUUCUCAGUCUUGCACCCGAAACACAUCUCCCCCACCCAGGAGAAGAGACUCCAAGUGUCCGCAGGACUACAGCAUCAAACUCAAAGCCCAGGACCUCGGGGUAAGGCACAGCGGUCCCCUCAUCAUUCAUCAUCACUCUGCCCAGGAAAGGAAAAGCAAAGAGCACACAGGAGUCACUUGUCCAUGAUCAAUACUCUUUGAUCAGCCCGACUGCUUCCUUGUUAACAGUUCACUGUUGUCCUUGGGUUUGUCUUCUUUAAGUUUCUUCCUCUUUAUUAUACUCUUUGGCCACAUAUAAAUGGGCAUCGGGGGAGUCCCCAUUGUGGCUCCGUGGUAACGAACCCAACUAGUAUCCAUGAGGACUUGGGUUCCAUCCCUACCCUUGAUCAGUGGGUUAAGGAUCCGGCAUUGCCGUGAGCUUUGGUGUAGGUCGAAGAUGCGGCUCGGAUCCUGCGUUGCUGUGGCUGUGGUGUAGGCCAGCUGCAACAGCUCCGAUUAGAUCCCUAGCCUGGGAACCUCCAUGUGCUUCAGGUGCAGCCCUAAAAAAAAGCCAAAAAAAAAAAAAAAAAAAAAUGGGCAUCAGGGAAUAUGCCCUUCUUCGGGCCUGAGCAGAGUUUUCAACCCACUCCUGACCUUAGACAGCUAUAAUUCCAAAAGCCAUUUAAAUCUUGAGCUUUUCUAGGCUUGGGAUUUCUUUAGCAGUACAAGAUUUUUUAAAAAACUUUAAUUCCAGUCACAUUCACGCUCUGAUAACUAUACCUAUAGCUCUUUCCCAGGGAGAAUUCUUAGAUUUGCUCUGCUGUUUUUGCUUUAUCAUCACCCCAUCUCUUUCUUGUCUUCAUUUCUGGUCCCACAGCUUCAACCUCUUUUCUUCGGGCCAUUUCUGUCCAAUUGCAAGUACUUUCUGGAUGUAAACUCUAUCCAUCCAGAAGUUUUAACAAGACGUUAUGUUGCAACAACUAUAAAAAUUUCUCAUUCUCACGUUUGACUGUAUGGAUUGAAAAGCAGUCAUGCAAGUCCCUGAGUUUUUGAAAUCUUUCUAUUCUUUUUUAUUCCUGCUUGUAAAUAUACAACAUCUUUAAGAAAAAAAAAAAGAGAGAGAGAAUAAAUUAGCUUUUCUUGUAAUGCCUUGCCAAACACCCUCAAUAGCAGCCAACCCAUGCUCGCUGGCCCCACGUAUUUUAGGCUAUUCAUUAGAGCAGCACCCAAAAUUAUAGGCACCAGUUCUUAUGCCAGUCAGAGUAGACUGGGUUGUGCAAAAGUCAAAAACAACUUCAAAUCUCAGUGGUUGAAAAAGGAGUCGGAGGCGGGGAGGAAGAAUAGGAGCUAUUUCUGUUCACGUGCCUUAAGCACCGCAGGCCGUCAGCGGUAUCUGUUCGCUGCUGUCAUUCAGGGUCCCAAACACUGUCUCAAAAACAGCUGGUCAUCCCUCCAGGCGUAAAGACAGACUGCGCCACACCAGCUCUGAGAGAAGGACCCAGAAGCACAGCCGCCAAAGCAAGUCUUGAGGCCACACCCACCUCCAAGGAAGUUGGAAACACAACCCUCACGUGUGGGCCCAGAAGGAAACCUGGACCCACUGAGUGGACAACACGCGUUAUCACAGAGGAGGGUUGAGAGAAGCUGAGGUAGGGACUUGAUAAGUGACUGAAACAAAGACACCUCAGCACAUCAAAGGAAGAAAUGCCCUUCCCACCAUCAACUUCUACUCGGAGAGUUCCUAGACUACAGACACCAAAACCAAAAUAAAAUGUAAAGGAACAGUCUCAACAGCGUCCGCUCAGACGGAAAACAUCGCAUCACUACUGCCUGUGAGAAAAACAUUUCCCCAUCUCCUCUACUUAGCAGAGGAGAGGCCUUAAUCUGGAAGGCUUCUCCUAGAUGAAAUAAUUUAGAGCUUAGAUUUUCACCCCUUACACGACUUCUGAAUGUCCUCUCUCC
RNAcentral lists this long non-coding RNA (6451 nucleotides) under Sus scrofa (pig). RNAcentral describes it as "lncRNA (ENSSSCG00025012389.1)". The record is from RNAcentral. Lineage: Eukaryota; Metazoa; Chordata; Mammalia; Artiodactyla; Suidae.